AUGACGCAGCUCGCGUACAACGUCCUGGAGCACGCCGUGGAGGAGCAUGUCAAGAGACUGGGGAUGCCGCUUGUGAGGCGCCACGGGUAUCGCCUGUGCUUCAGCGGCGCGACUCAGGCCGCCUUCCCGCACCUGCCGACGAUGACGCUGCACUUCGAGGAGGGCGGGGAGGAGGACGGUGACCUCGUGAUAAGGCCGCAACAACUCUUCGUCUUCGUUCAGCGCGACAUCUGCCUCGCCGUGGUGCCGAGCGAGCACAUGACCAUCAUCGGCGUGAUGCAGCAGGUGGACACGCGCUUCGUCUAUGACAUGACAGCCGGCAAGAUCCACUUCGCUCCCGAGAGAUGCAGCGACGAUACAGGCGGCCCCAACUGA
This 375-nucleotide ribosomal RNA is filed under the name Triticum aestivum (bread wheat). RNAcentral describes it as "partial small subunit ribosomal RNA". The record is from RNAcentral. Lineage: Eukaryota; Viridiplantae; Streptophyta; Magnoliopsida; Poales; Poaceae.